Molecule: non-coding RNA, 741 nt
Filed under: Oryza sativa Indica Group (long-grained rice)
Lineage: Eukaryota; Viridiplantae; Streptophyta; Magnoliopsida; Poales; Poaceae
Source: RNAcentral
CAACAACACCACCAACAACAACAAUAAUAAUAAAAGUAUGUGGUUUAGCGUCUGUGUUUAUAAUGUAUAUAUAAAAAAUUUAUGUGCGCAUUUAUUUUGAAAAUCUAACUUAUGAAAAAAGAGUUCAAAAGAAGUAUUUCUCCAAGGUUUAUUAGAGGUAGAUAUGGAGGGAAUGGCUUGUGUGGUCUUUGGCAGACUGCAGGAUUAUUGAUAUUUUGCAUUAUCAUGGAACAUGCUCAUGAAUUGGUUAGGUCAGCAUUUACUUCGUUCUUGUAGGGUAGCAAGUUAAGGCCAUGCCCAUAACCUAUCAAUCAACGACAUGCAUGCAUGCUGGUUCAUGAAUGAAUACAUUUAUACAUGCUUGGUUUCAUGCACAUAGAUGCAUGGAGUAUACAGUAAACUAACCAAGAGAAGUCAGAAGAAGCAAAAGCUAUAGUUAGCACCAUGGCAUGACCAGGUGCAAGAAAAGCAAAGAGGUAAUCAAGCUAAGCUAGCUAUAGAGUGCAUGCCCAUCUCAUGACAGAGUAGAACAGACAGCUAUAUGCAAAUAGCUCACCUUUCGGUACUGAACUGUGGCAAGCAAUGAAAACUUCAGAGGUGUGCGUGGAGACUGCAGAUUUAAUUGGUCGUGUGGUAAGAACAAACCAUGGAGCUCAGGAUAGAUAGCGCCUAGUUUGAUUUCGAGGCGCUAUCCCUCCUGAGCUUCAAGGAUUGUUCCAUACCCUUCCUCAAAACAUCUCU